UACGGAGGGAGCUAGCGUUGUCCGGAAUCAUUGGGCGUAAAGCGCGUGUAGGCGGCUUGGUAAGUCCGUUCUGAAAGCCCGGGGCUCAACCCCGGGAGGCGGAUGGAUACUGCCAAGCUCGAGUCCGGAAGAGGCAAGUGGAAUUCCCGGUGUAGCGGUGAAAUGCGCAGAUAUCGGGAGGAACACCAAUGGCGAAGGCAGCUUGCUGGGACGGUACUGACGCUGAGACGCGAAAGCGUGGGGAGCAAACAGG
This 253-nucleotide ribosomal RNA is filed under the name uncultured bacterium. Its description in RNAcentral is "partial 16S ribosomal RNA". It matches the Rfam family "Bacterial small subunit ribosomal RNA", at positions 524 to 776 of the family's 1533-position model. The record is from RNAcentral.